AACAAACGCUGGCGGCGUGCCUAAUACAUGCAAGUCGAACGGGGAAAGCUUUCGGGUGAGUACUAGUGGCGCACGGGUGAGUAGCGCGUGGAUAAUCUGCCCUCGAAUGGGGAAUAACUAGUCGAAAGAUUAGCUAAUACCGCAUAAGACCACGACUACUGAGGUAGUUGGGGUCAAAGGAGCAAUUCGUUUGAGGAUGAGUCCGCGUAAGAUUAGCUAGUUGGUGAGGUAAUGGCUCACCAAGGCGAUGAUCUUUAACUGGUCUGAGAGGAUGAUCAGUCACACUGGAACUGAGAUACGGUCCAGACUCCUACGGGAGGCAGCAGUAGGGAAUAUUGGACAAUGGGGGCAACCCUGAUCCAGCGACGCCGCGUGAGCGAUGAAGGCCUUCGGGUCGUAAAGCUCUGUUGUAAGGGAAAAAGUUCUGAUUGUACCUUACGAGAAAGGAUCGGCUAACUUCGUGCCAGCCGCCGCAGUAA
RNAcentral lists this ribosomal RNA (479 nucleotides) under uncultured bacterium. RNAcentral describes it as "partial 16S ribosomal RNA". It matches the Rfam family "Bacterial small subunit ribosomal RNA", at positions 29 to 523 of the family's 1533-position model. The record is from RNAcentral.